CUACGGGGCGCACCAGUCGAGAAUCUUCCGCAAUGGACGAAAGUCUGACGGAGCGACGCCGCGUGCGGGAUGAAGGCCUUCGGGUUGUAAACCGCUGUCAGUGGGGAGGAAAUGCAUCAGGGUUCUCCCUGGUGUUUGACCGAUCCGCAGAGGAAGCGCAGGCUAAGUUCGUGCCAGCAGCCGCGGUAACACGAACUGCGCGAACGUUAUUCGGAAUCACUGGGCUUAAAGAGUUCGUAGGCGGCCUUUCAAGUCGGGUGUGAAAUCCCUCGGCUCAACCGAGGGAUUGCGCCUGAUACUGUUGGGCUUGAGGGGGAUAGGGGUGAGCGGAACUGAUGGUGGAGCGGUGAAAUGCGUUGAUAUCAUCAGGAACACCGGUGGCGAAGGCGGCUCACUGGAUCUCUUCUGACGCUGAGGAACGAAAGCUAGGGGAGCGAACGGGAUUAGAUACCCUGGUAGUC
This 461-nucleotide ribosomal RNA is filed under the name uncultured bacterium. RNAcentral's name for it is "partial 16S ribosomal RNA". It matches the Rfam family "Bacterial small subunit ribosomal RNA", at positions 339 to 795 of the family's 1533-position model. The record is from RNAcentral.